CGGAGCGGCUCCGCCUGCGCCUGGCCGGCUGCUCCCGGGGGACGAUGCAGCAAAGCGGGGCCAGCAGCGCUCAGCCCGGCCCGGGAGGAGGUGCGGGGGGAUGAGGAGCAGGAGGAGCAGCAGGGAAUGUUCUCUGAGGUCCGGGUGCUGCUGGCACCCUCACAGAUGGGGCGAUGUGGGGCUUUGGGCUGGGACACGGGGGAGUUGCUGUGACUCCCACCCAGCCUGGCAGCUCAGGGGUGGGUGGUCUGUGCUCUCGUAGGGGUGUGGACCCCAAAAUCUAGCCCAGCCCCAUGAAUUUGGUCUCUCUGGUCCCACCAAGGGAACAGGGGAAGCCACAGCUGCCCCCUAGACCACGGAGAUGUGACCGAGCCAGCUCUUCCCUCCCCCAGCCUGUUCCUGCACCCUGGAAGUGCCGAAAACACCCUGGGAAUGAGCUGGUUCUUCCCUGAAACCCCACACAGGUCCCAGCUGGCCGGGAUGCAGCAGGAUGGGAAGCUGGUGCUGGAGUGAGCAGAGCAUCCUCCCAGCUCCUGGGAAGCUGCUGCUUCCCACCUCAGGAGGGACAUUUCCCUGCUUCAGGUAACCCCAACAAACGGCUUUUUACUCAAGGUUUCACAGGAUGAGACAUCCUAGGAGGAUAAAUCCCUCCCCGGGGAUGCAGCCGCCUGGGAGCUGCACUCUGGUGCAGAUGUGGUCACAGAUCCAGCUGUUUGCUGUGCCCCACUCCCUCUGGAACAUCCUGAGGCUGUGGGUGAACUGCCUGCAUGCCCCUUCCCACCCUCCCCUCCUCUCCACGGACAGGCGGGCAGCAGGGCCGAGAGCUGCUGGAGGAGGCUGGAAGAGCUCCGGCACCGAGAGCCGAGCAGGGAUCCUCGGGGACACACCCCGCGCCUCCCGCGGGCAGCAGCUGGACCUCGGCAUCCUCGCUGGUGUGUUUUCCCCGUGUUCCCUGUAGCGCCUGCAGCGAGCUCCCAGAGCGCGGUCCCCAGCCGGGCCCGGAGCCACGCACGCUUCCAGCACAGGAAAACCGAGCCCUGGGAAUGUGGAGCUGCCUCAGCUUGUGCCAGGCUGAGGGGCAGGCAGGAGGAUGCCAGGGACCCCAGCGUGUGCCAGCACCCCCACAGCCGCUGUGGACAUCCAGGGCCCAUCCCUGUAUCCCUGUGGCCCGGGGUCAGGGACGGUCCGGGGAGCUCGGUGUGUGCCCACACGAUGAUCUCACACACACUGGGGCUGCUCACUGAACCCUCACGCUGUGAAUCCCCCAAUUCCCGGGGCACCAUCACCUCCUGCACCUCAGCCUCACAGCUCAUGGCAGAGGGGAUCCUGUUCGCACCCCUCAGGGCGUUCCCCACCUUCAGGGCUCCUGGAGCAGAGGGAUGGGUGGGACUGGCAGGACUGGCACCAGGGGCACACAGAGGGCUGUGGGACCGAGACAGGCUGACCCCAGCGCUGAUGGUUGCUGUGGGGAGUCUGUAGCAAAGCUAUUUUUUGGGGGUG
This 1500-nucleotide long non-coding RNA is filed under the name Parus major (Great Tit). RNAcentral's name for it is "lncRNA (ENSPMJG00000008063.1)". Lineage: Eukaryota; Metazoa; Chordata; Aves; Passeriformes; Paridae. The record is from RNAcentral.